CAUAACACUCACGAGAAAUCCAGUGUCAAUAAACAUUGAGAUGGAAAAUCAUGCAAAGAAAAAGAGCCACAUGGGCGACGUUCCAAGUAUCAUGGGUGUGGUCUCUUCAACACACCACAGGAAUACGUUCUCCAAGAAUGAAUCAACGCAAUAUUUAGGAAUAAAAUGGUUGAAUUACCAAAUCAUAUAUGAGAUAGGGAAAUGGUAGACAAAUCCAUGUUUUGCAUAUUUAACAAAAGUCAGUUAUAAAAUUGUAGA
Molecule: long non-coding RNA, 258 nt
Filed under: Lathyrus oleraceus (garden pea)
Lineage: Eukaryota; Viridiplantae; Streptophyta; Magnoliopsida; Fabales; Fabaceae
Description: Pisum sativum (pea) long non-coding RNA (PSAT_LNC010510)
Source: RNAcentral